Molecule: ribosomal RNA, 698 nt
Filed under: uncultured bacterium
Lineage: Bacteria
Description: bacterial SSU rRNA
Rfam family: Bacterial small subunit ribosomal RNA
Source: RNAcentral
CUUCGGGUAAUGAGGAUGGCGGACGGGUGAGUAACGCGUAAGGAACUUGCCUCUUGGACUGGGACAACUGUUGGAAACGACAGCUAAUACCGGAUAUUAUGAGAUUCUCGCAUGAGAAACUUAUGAAAGCUAUAUGCGCCAAGAGAGAGCCUUGCGUUCCAUUAGCUAGUUGGUGGGGUAACGGCCCACCAAGGCGACGAUGGAUAGCCGGCCUGAGAGGGUGAACGGCCACAAGGGGACUGAGACACGGCCCUUACUCCUACGGGAGGCAGCAGUGGGGAAUAUUGGACAAUGGGCCACAAGCCUGAUCCAGCAAUUCUGUGUGCACGAUGAAGGUCUUCGGAUUGUAAAGUGCUUUCAGUUGGGAAGAAGAAAGUGACGGUACCAACAGAAGAAGCGACGGCUAAAUACGUGCCAGCAGCCGCGGUAAUACGUAUGUCGCAAGCGUUAUCCGGAUUUAUUGGGCGUAAAGCGCGUCUAGGCGGAAAAAUAAGUCUGAUGUUAAAAUGCGGGGCUCAACUCCGUAUUGCGUUGGAAACUGUUUUUCUAGAGUACUGGAGAGGUGGGCGGAACUACAAGUGUAGAGGUGAAAUUCGUAGAUAUUUGUAGGAAUGCCGAUGGAGAAGUCAGCUCACUGGACAGAUACUGACGCUGAAGCGCGAAAGCGUGGGGAGCAAACAGGAUUAGAUACCCUGGUA